Molecule: ribosomal RNA, 207 nt
Filed under: Triticum aestivum (bread wheat)
Lineage: Eukaryota; Viridiplantae; Streptophyta; Magnoliopsida; Poales; Poaceae
Description: partial small subunit ribosomal RNA
Source: RNAcentral
AUGCUUCUAUUAUCGAUCUGGAGUUGGGAGCACUUGCGAGUGGGGCGACCGACACCAAAGGGUUAUGACCCGUGGGAUGAUCAUCAUGACCCAGACCGUAUGCCUACAUGGGCAUAUAAGUGGGACAAGGUUGAAGGUUUUGUUGGCAACUCAAAGACCAUGUAUUUGCACUACUGCAAUGAGCUUGACAUCAUGACCCCGGAGUAG